CGGACGGGUGAGUAAUGUCUGGGAAACUAGCCUGAUGGAGGGGGGUAACUACUGGAAACGGUAGCUAAUACCGCAUAACGUCGCAAGACCAAAGAGGGGGACCUUAGGGCCUCUUGCCAUCGGAUGUGCCCAGAUGGGAUUAGCUAGUAGGUGGGGUAACGGCUCACCUAGGCGACGAUCCCUAGCUGGUCUGAGAGGAUGACCAGCCACACUGGAACUGAGACACGGUCCAG
This 233-nucleotide ribosomal RNA is filed under the name uncultured bacterium. RNAcentral describes it as "partial 16S ribosomal RNA". It matches the Rfam family "Bacterial small subunit ribosomal RNA", at positions 99 to 334 of the family's 1533-position model. The record is from RNAcentral.